UAAGAGGUCCCGCCUGCCCUGUGACUUUAGUUUAACGGCCGCGGUAUUUUGACCGUGCGAAGGUAGCGCAAUCACUUGUCUUUUAAAUGAAGACCCGUAUGAAUGGCACCACGAGGGCUUAGCUGUCUCCUUUUUCGAGUCAAUGAAAUUGAUCUCCCCGUGCAGAAGCGGGGAUGCAAAUAUAAGACGAGAAGACCCUAUGGAGCUUUAGACCUAGUGCAGAUCACGAAAAAUACUUUAUACAAAAAGAUUAAGCCCAAUGACUCCCGCAUGACUGUCUUUGGUUGGGGCGACCACGGGGAAAAAUAAAACCCCCACGAGGACUGAGAGUUUUACUCCUAAAACCAAGAGCUACAGCUCUAAGUAUCAGAAAUUCUGACCUACCUGAUCCGGGCAACCGAUCAACGAACCAAGUUACCCUAGGGAUAACAGCGCAAUCCUCUUCCAGAGCCCAUAUCGACAAGGGGGUUUACGACCUCGAUGUUGGAUCAGGACAUCCUAAUGGUGCAGCCGCUAUUAAGGGUUCGUUUGUUCAACG
RNAcentral lists this ribosomal RNA (538 nucleotides) under Xenolepidichthys dalgleishi. Its description in RNAcentral is "partial 16S large subunit ribosomal RNA". It matches the Rfam family "Bacterial large subunit ribosomal RNA", at positions 1846 to 2586 of the family's 2925-position model. Lineage: Eukaryota; Metazoa; Chordata; Actinopteri; Zeiformes; Grammicolepididae. The record is from RNAcentral.